This 274-nucleotide ribosomal RNA is filed under the name uncultured bacterium. RNAcentral describes it as "partial 16S ribosomal RNA". It matches the Rfam family "Bacterial small subunit ribosomal RNA", at positions 523 to 796 of the family's 1533-position model. The record is from RNAcentral.
AUACGGAGGGUGCAAGCGUUACUCGGAAUCACUGGGCGUAAAGGACGCGUAGGCGGGUUGGUAAGUCAGGUGUGAAAUCCUACAGCUUAACUGUAGAACUGCACUUGAAACUACCAACCUAGAGUAUGGGAGGGGGAGAUGGAAUUAGUGGUGUAGGGGUAAAAUCCGUAGAUAUCACUAGGAAUACCGAAAGCGAAGGCGAUCUCCUGGAACAUAACUGACGCUAAGGCGUGAAAGCGUGGGGAGCAAACGGGAUUAGAAACCCCGGUAGUCC